RNAcentral lists this small RNA (20 nucleotides) under Caenorhabditis elegans. RNAcentral describes it as "Unclassified non-coding RNA Y59H11AR.9". Lineage: Eukaryota; Metazoa; Nematoda; Chromadorea; Rhabditida; Rhabditidae. The record is from RNAcentral.
GUUUAUAUUGAGAUUUGAUG